This 305-nucleotide ribosomal RNA is filed under the name uncultured bacterium. RNAcentral's name for it is "bacterial SSU rRNA". It matches the Rfam family "Bacterial small subunit ribosomal RNA", at positions 333 to 655 of the family's 1533-position model. The record is from RNAcentral.
UUUAUCCUACGGGGCGCAGCAGUAGGGAAUAUUGCUCAAUGGGGGAAACCCUGAAGCAGCAACGCCGCGUGGAGGAUGAAGGUUUUCGGAUUGUAAACUCCUUUUGUUAGAGAAGAUAAUGACGGUAUCUAACGAAUAAGCUCCGGCUAACUACGUGCCAGCAGCCGCGGUAAUACGUAGGGAGCAAGCGUUAUCCGGAAUUAUUGGGUGUAAAGGGUGCGUAGACGGGAUGUCAAGUUAGUUGUGAAAUACCUCGGCUCAACUGAGGAACUGCAACUAAAACUAACAUUCUUGAGUGCAGGAGG